UCCUAUUUGACCUUCUUUUUCUUCUCUUCUCAAUCUACAGUGGCUCCUGAUUACAUCUGUAGAACUCUUGGCCUCUGAGUGACAUGGUAUAAUAAAGAGACAUGUACCAAAAGUCAGAAAGGCAGAGCUGCUGAAAAUGUUUUGCAAGUUGGUUGGUUGUAAAACAAGUGGCCUCCUCAUCACAGCCCAGAAUACAACACUUUUUGAAGGCAAGUACUAUUCUUAAAAACUAGAAAGUUUAGAAACAGAAAACUUAGAGCUUUAGAAGAAUUCUUUCUUGUGCUAUGAAUUUGAGUCUGACAGCAGCCACUGAUUUGAAAAUAUUCAUAGGGCUUAGGCCAAGCUUAGGAAAUUUAUUUCCACACAUAUAACUAAUAGAGAGGGAAACCUGCUAUCACUUCGAAGUGGUUGAUCCUGCACAUCAGUCCACUGAUAAAGCAAUUUACAUCUGUCGACCCCCCUCCUUCUCAGAGAAGAAACUGGGCUCUCCACUCACUAAGCGGACAAGAAGACCCAGGUUUUGAAAUGUAUUUCACUAGAUUACCUGGUGAAAUGUAUAUUACAUGUUGAUGCUAGAAAGAUUUACAUUCCAUUAUCUCUAACUUACUAACAGGGUGGAUUGUUGGCGAUUCCUCCAGGAGUCCCUUUUCAGAGGCUAGUAUCACAGCCCAGGAAACUGCAGGCACCACGCUUAUCAGGAGAGCUGCUGGUAGGUGGCAAGAAUGUCACUCUUCAGUUAUGGCUUAGAUGUCACCAGAGAAUGCAAAGGAGGAGAAGGAAGAGACCGGUGUGCAGGCAGGUAACAUAAAGGAGCUUGAACAAGCAGAGCAGCCACCCUUCUAAAGUCAGGGGCCUCCCACGGUUUCAAGCAUGGUGCCUCCAUGCAGUGGGUACACCUCUAUUCUCAAGGCCCCUAUUUCAUGAUUUACAUGUACUGCUUUUCAUAAGUUAUUAAGUGUUCUACAAAAGUAAGGAAUUAUCAAUUUAAAAGAUAUUUUGUGGGUGUCCACUCUGCUAUGGAUUAUGGCUGAGCAACAGAGACCAG
This 1045-nucleotide long non-coding RNA is filed under the name Felis catus (domestic cat). RNAcentral describes it as "lncRNA (ENSFCAG00000043412.2)". The record is from RNAcentral. Lineage: Eukaryota; Metazoa; Chordata; Mammalia; Carnivora; Felidae.